AGAAAGGAUGUUUUCACAUCCAUCUAAUACACUUUAAUAUUCUUG
Molecule: non-coding RNA, 45 nt
Organism: Picea glauca (white spruce)
Lineage: Eukaryota; Viridiplantae; Streptophyta; Pinopsida; Pinales; Pinaceae
Source: Rfam